This 29-nucleotide non-coding RNA is filed under the name Mus musculus (house mouse). The record is from RNAcentral. Lineage: Eukaryota; Metazoa; Chordata; Mammalia; Rodentia; Muridae.
GUCUAUCCCAUGGUCAAGGACCUGGUGAC